AUUGAACGCUGGCGGCAGGCCUAACACAUGCAAGUCGAACGAGUGGCGGACGGGUGAGUAAUGUCUGGGAAACUGCCUGCUGGAGGGGGAUAACUACUGGAAACGGUAGCUAAUACCGCAUACCAUCAGAUGUGCCCAGAUGGGCUUAGCUAGUUGGUGGGGUAACGGCUCACCAAGGCGACGAUCCCUAGCUGGUCUGAGAGGAUGACCGGCCACACUGGAACUGAGACACGGUCCAGAGUCCGACGGGAGGCAGCAGUGGGGAAUAUUGCAAAAUGGGCGCAAGGCUGAUGCAGGCAUGCCGCGUGGAUGAAGAAGGCCUUCGGGUUGUAGAGUACUUUAAGCGGGGAGGCGUUACCCGCAGAAGAAGCACCGGCUAACUCCGUGCCAGCAGCCGCGGUAAUUC
This 406-nucleotide ribosomal RNA is filed under the name uncultured bacterium. RNAcentral's name for it is "partial 16S ribosomal RNA". It matches the Rfam family "Bacterial small subunit ribosomal RNA", at positions 30 to 526 of the family's 1533-position model. The record is from RNAcentral.